This 427-nucleotide ribosomal RNA is filed under the name uncultured bacterium. RNAcentral's name for it is "bacterial SSU rRNA". It matches the Rfam family "Bacterial small subunit ribosomal RNA", at positions 355 to 774 of the family's 1533-position model. The record is from RNAcentral.
UAGGGAAUAUUGGACAAUGGGGGCAACCCUGAUCCAGCCAUGCCGCGUGAGUGAAGAAGGCCCUCGGGUUGUAAAGCUCUUUUGUCCGGAAAGAAAAGCUUCGGGUUAAUACCCCGGGGUUCUGACGGUACCGGAAGAAUAAGCACCGGCUAACUUCGUGCCAGCAGCCGCGGUAAUACGAAGGGUGCAAGCGUUACUCGGAAUUACUGGGCGUAAAGCGUGCGUAGGUGGUUGUUUAAGUCUGAUGUGAAAGCCCUGGGCUCAACCCGGGAAUGGCAUUGGAAACUGGGCAGCUAGAGUGCGGUAGAGGGUAGUGGAAUUCCCGGUGUAGCAGUGAAAUGCGUAGAGAUCGGGAGGAACAUCUGUGGCGAAGGCGACUGCCUGGACCAGCACUGACACUGAGGCACGAAAGCGUGGGGAGCAAACA